RNAcentral lists this ribosomal RNA (253 nucleotides) under uncultured bacterium. RNAcentral's name for it is "partial 16S ribosomal RNA". It matches the Rfam family "Bacterial small subunit ribosomal RNA", at positions 524 to 776 of the family's 1533-position model. The record is from RNAcentral.
UACGUAGGGGCCGAGCGUUGUCCGGAUUCAUUGGGCGUAAAGAGCGUGUCGGCGGCCGCUUAAGUCCUGCGUGAAAUCUCGGAGCUCAACUCCGAGCGGUCGUGGGAAACGGGGCGGCUAGAGUGCGGGAGAGGAGAGUGGAAUUCCUGGUGUAGCGGUGGAAUGCGCAGAUAUCAGGAAGAACACCCGUGGCGAAGGCGGCUCUCUGGAACGCAACUGACGCUGAGACGCGAAAGCGUGGGGAGCAAACAGG